This 2690-nucleotide long non-coding RNA is filed under the name Homo sapiens (human). Its description in RNAcentral is "FTX transcript, XIST regulator". Lineage: Eukaryota; Metazoa; Chordata; Mammalia; Primates; Hominidae. The record is from RNAcentral.
GGAAGCACACUGCGGCGAUUCUGGAGAGGUUGUCCUUUUCUGGCAUCAGCGUUGCGGCUCGAGGCAAAGCUGGUCCUGUGCCUGCUGUCCAUUGCCGCUAAGGCCUGCUGCUGCCAUUCAGGCGUGUCUCUCUCUCUCUCUCUCUUUCAUGCCGCUCUCUCCACCCCAUCUUGGGACGGCCAGCUCUAAGAAUUCCUGCUACGACACUGAAUUCAACCAGGAGGUGAUGCCACACUCAAUCAGAAACUAUGCUACUGCUGAAGAGGUAUAUUGAGCCCUGCCUGGUUAACCUCCAGUGAGGUUAUUAGAGAAUUGGGAGAGGCUCAAAUCAGCAUCCUGCACCUAGUUAUCAAACCAUUGUGAAGUCUUGAUUCCUGGAUGGCCAGAAAACUUGUCAUUGGUCAAGAGCAACAUUAAGAUCUGCCUGUUACUCAUACUGAUGCUUCCUGCCCAGCAAGUUCAUCAGAGGGCGAGGAUGAAUUACGGUUGCCAUGAAUGUCCUUGUGAGGCAGUUGGGAAGCCUUGGCUGGAUUGUGAAGGAUAUUUGAAAAGUAUUUUAGAGUCCACCAGAUCAUCCAUGUGAGUGACCAUGCAGCAAAAGAAGGAGGGUCCUCUCAGUGAUUAAGGAUUAUGAAGUAUUAAUUCUUCCACUGAUAUCUCAAAAGGUGAUCUGGACAAAGGAACAGGUAUCUCAGAUUCCCAGUUCUCAAUCUUCCUUCCUCCUUACAAGAUACAAGCAACCUUCAACCUUCCCAGAGAUGGUCUCUGUAUAUGAAAGACAAUGGUCUUAUUAUGAAGUCGGCAUAUUUAUAGCUUGAUAAAAACUGAAAAAUCUGUAGCCUAUUUUUAAUAGUGAUAUAUAAGGAAAUAACAUAAAUAAAAAUUUGGCAACAAGAAUCCAGGAGCAAAUUUAUGAUCAAUACACAAUUGGGCAAGUGGUGUUCAUACCAACCAUGCAAAAAUGGUUCAAUUUUAGGAAAUCUUUGAAUAUAGCUUUUAGUAGGUCAGAGGAAAUCAGUAUCUCAAAGUACUUUCAUGAUUUAGUUAUUUUUAAGUUAUUGAUCAUUUUGGAUUUUAUUUUGAGGUUGAUAGCCAUAUAAUGAUUUCACAUUUUAUUUUAAAUGGCUAGCUGUUGUCCCAAUACUAUUUACUGAAAAAUCUACAUUUUGCUCACUCUUUUUUUUUUUUUUUAAGAGACAGGGUUUUACCAUGUUGCCCAGGCUAGAUUUGAACUCCUGGGCUCAAGUGAUCCUCUCGACCCAGCCUCCUGAGUAUCUGUGACUGCAGGCAAGUACCCCUGUGCCUGCUCACUUAUUUAAAGUUCUACACAUCAAAUACUAAAUUCUCAUCUAUUUGACUUCUGGACUCACUGGUUGGUGUCAUUGACUGUCUUUUCCUGUGAUAGCAUAGAAUUAUUUUGAUUGUGGAAGUACUAUAAAUGUUGCUAUUUAUUGUGCCUCUUGCUGCCUAUCUAUAUUUAGACUCAUUUAUGUGAUGCCAUUCUGUAUACUCUAAAUUUUUUGGUUCUAUUUUAAUAAUGUUUGAGUCAAUGACUUUUCAUGACUCUUGACUUCCCUACUUCAACAGUUUACUAGUCUCCAUCUUGAAUGUUUUUAUUAAUCUAUUUUGUGUUAAUUCUACCCAGGUUUUUUGUUUUUCCUUGCUACUAUUAUAUAUAUUUCUGCCAGAUGUCACAUGGUAUAAAUGCCUAUAUGGACUUUUGUAACAGAAAAUUUACUUACUAGAAUUAAUGUAGGGGGCUUUUUAAUAAGAGUGCAUGUAACAUAGUAACAGUAGCAGAGCUAUAUCAGAAACAGUUCUGAUAAUAUUUCAUGAUCUAUAGUUUGUUGCAUGCCCAUUGCUUCAUACUGCUUGUGUUCUUGGUUGAGUCAUAAGUAAUUUUUAUGGGGUGUGUCAUGACUGUCAUAUUCAUAGAGAGUUGUCUGCCUUGCCCCAUGGUCUUUGCAUGGCUUAAACAGGACCCCUUUUCAUACACAAGUCAUUCAAUUUUAUGUUUUUAAUAGCAUCAAUUUUAGUGUUUAACAUGUGUCUCUGGACUAUGCAUCAGAAUACUUGACUGUUAGUGUGAAAUGAAAAUUCAUGGAUAUCAUAAUUUAUGUAACAUAAUUUAACAUUUCUUUAUUAAUAAGACUUUAGAUUGUCCCUUUCACAAAAAAAUGGUGCGGUUAAAACUUAAUCCUUGUGUCUUUUUGUGAGUAGUUCUAUGAUUUCUAUAUGAUGGCAUCCUUGAAAAAGUUGGUAAAAAUAAGAAUAGUUCUUAUUUAUUAAAGUUCUUCUCAAAUUGCUCUUCCAAAACAUUUUAGUUUAUACUGCAAUGUUAACCAUUUUACACUUGCUUAAGUAAUUUUCUUCAAAUACACACGAGUCCAGGCUAUUUAACCUUAUUUUACCGCUAUAGCACAAAACAGGUUUUCCAAAAUUGUCCUUGCACACCUGGGAUUUUACAAGGAUAUUAUAAUCUUGGUUCAGUUUGACUUACUGAAUUUGUAGUAAGUAUAUUUUAGCACAUAGAAAAUUCAAAAUAUGUGUUAAUCUGUUUAUAGGGUAAAUUUUUAUGAGGGUGGAUGUCAUCCUGUUUUUUUUUUUUUUAAUAAAUGUUUUGUUUCAGAAUGUUUUUUAUUUACAGAAAAGUUACAAACAUAGUACAGAGAGUUCCCAAAUGCUCCACA